This 188-nucleotide microRNA precursor is filed under the name Oryza brachyantha (malo sina). Its description in RNAcentral is "MIR812 microRNA precursor family". It matches the Rfam family "MIR812 microRNA precursor family". Lineage: Eukaryota; Viridiplantae; Streptophyta; Magnoliopsida; Poales; Poaceae. The record is from Rfam by way of RNAcentral.
AAUAAAUCAAUUUUUUACUUUUUACCUAUAAUUUUUGACUCUUCGUCUUAUUUAAAUUUUUUUUACGAUUGAUACUUUUGUUUUUAUUAGAUGAUAAAUCAUGAAUAGUACUUUACGUGUGACUAUUUUUUUAAUUUUUUGAAAAUUUUUCAAAUAAGACGGAUGAUCAAAUGUUGGACACGGAAACC